RNAcentral lists this unclassified non-coding RNA (324 nucleotides) under Hevea brasiliensis (rubber tree). Lineage: Eukaryota; Viridiplantae; Streptophyta; Magnoliopsida; Malpighiales; Euphorbiaceae. The record is from RNAcentral.
AUUUUGCACAGGGGCGCUCGAUUAUCGAAGCUCAUAUACAAAUCCUCUCCAUUUUCCUUCUGAAAUUGUUGCUGCGUUUGCUCUCAGUUACGUGGUGAGGAUGUCGACACCGGCGAAGAAGAGAUUGAUGAGGGAUUUCAAGCGGUUACAGCAGGAUCCUCCUGCUGGCAUCAGUGGUGCACCUUAUGAUAGCAAUAUAAUGUUAUGGAAUGCUGUUAUAUUCGGCCCUGAUGAUACUCCCUGGGAUGGAGGUACGUUUAAGAUGACACUUCAAUUUUCAGAGGAUUAUCCUAACAAGCCACCAAGAGUGCACUUCGUCUCCAG